UUCGAGUAUUUUGUUUAAUGAAUUAUUAUUAUACAGAAUAUACGAAGCUCUUAAAUUUUACUCUGAAGCUUAAAACUAGUAGCCUGAAUUGCUAAUUAUAAUUCCAACACAUUCGUCUUUAAACGUUUAAAUUAAACUUUCGAUCGUUAAAUAUUCCAUCUCCGAUCAAUGCCAUCUAUUUUGAUUCUUAUUCAACAAACGGAGCAUAAAAUGAAGGCACUUGGAACAAAAUGGAAUAUAUUAAAUUCAAUUUUUAAAUCGCCCGUCCUCAGAAUAAAAACGAAACCUAUUUUCUCUGGCGCUAAAUGCAGUUCGAAUUUAAACUAUAGAAUUCAAUUUAGUUUGUAAUAUAAUCUAAAUAUUUACUUUGUUCAAUACGAUCUAUCUUCGAUGAUACCAGCCAAAGAUAAAAAAAAAAAAAGAAAGUGGAAACGAUUCCAACAAAAUGCAACAUCUCUAAAUCGAGUUGGAACACACAGGUGCAUAUGCGUGGGCGCGUGCGCGCGCGUGUAAGUGGCUUCAACAAUCAACGGACGACAGAGGAUCCCCCAUGGGAAUCCGAGCGAGCGAAUCGUAGCGGGAUUGAACGCUUGAAAUGGAAUAAUAUCCAAUAAUCUGGCAGCUGAGAGAACGGGAUAAAAAGGGACGUUUUAUCGGAACAUCGCAGUAACCGAGCGAGUUCCCGAACCAUUUCCGGCUCGGCUCGCUUUCUGUCUGUCCCCCGGCCACCGAGCGAAAUUAAUUAUUGAUUUCGGAUACAGGCAUUCACAGCCCUGGAGAGCUUUUAAUCGAAAACGAACCAACCGUCCCGUUCGUUUCCGUUCGACGUGAAUUCAGCGAUUCGCCCUAGGAGAGUCUAUGCUACGCCAUCAUCGCGACUCUUCUUUUAACGAUGGCUAUUUUAAAGAUAAAAUAGGAAUAUACGAAGAAGGAUUUGCUUAUAUAUGCCCUUUUUGUAUACCUAAUUUUUUCAUUAAUUUCUUUCCUUCUUUUUAAUUAUAUAUAAUCUAUCUAUCUAAUUUCGUUUUUUAAAAUAAUUUCUUAAUUUGUAAUGUUUGGUAAUUGUGUAAUAUUUAUUGGUUGAACGUUGGUGGUUUUGAAAUAGAUCUUAGAAAUUUGUGUAGCUCUAUGAGUUGUGUUGUGACUCAUUCUAAUUACACUAUGAAAAAAAUUUUACGUUUCAACUCUGUUAUAUGUAUUUAAUAGCAGAUGAAAUACGAUAUAUGCUUUAUAAAGAUUUUCGACGAAAAUGUCCUAAAUCUCUGUAGCGUUGUUUUUAAAAUUGAUUGAUUGUGAUUAGAUUUAAUCGUGCCCGUUAUAAAACGUUUUUAAAAUACCGUGCACCUGCGUCUAUGCAACCUAUGCUACCGAUGCAAGAUGUCUGUUUCAAGAUUUAAAAAUAAUCUAUUACUGCGCUAUUGUCAAUGUAAAAGUUUGAUUGGAUAUUUUACAAAAGUAAUGAAUAUUAUCUCUUUAAUAAAAUUAAUUAAUUAAUUAAUGUGUAAACAUAGAUGUACAAUCCGUACAAUAAAAUCAAAACUUUCGCACAAAGGAUAGAAACGUAAUUCGAGGAUAGGAGGUUACAAACACCAAAAUACAUGCUGCGAUCUUUUCACCCAACGGUGGACAGAGAUGGAAGGGAUGGAAGUGUACCAGAGGUAUUGGAUUUUGACCGCAAUGAAUCUUCUCUUGAUGACGGCAAAUUCUCAAUUAACUAAAUUAGGAGGUUAAAAAGAAAAAUCGUGUGAAUCGCUUUGUUAUACGAAGAUGAGGAUAUGAAAAGGAUAGUUAUAAAAAGAAUUAUGUUUCAUGCGAUUAUAUUAACGUUAGUAAUGUUUAAAAUUAAUUAAGACGUGUUAAAACAUUAACAAAUGCACGAACACAAAAAUAAUUAGGAAAUGGUAUCAAGGAAUCUUUGAUAUAAGAUUAAAGAUAUAAUAUAUAAUUUACUAUCUUUGCAGGUGAUUUGAAAAAAGGUGAAAAUACAAAAUCUUUCAUCGUGUAGAAAUUCCAUAUUCUUUAAAUGAAAAACGUAUGUGUAAUUUUCGGAUAUACAACUCCCGCGUAGCACAUAUCCGCUAUAUAUAAAUAUACGUAUUCAUGUCAAUAAAAUCAACAUGUUUUAAGUGCCCUAAACUUUAA
This is a long non-coding RNA of Bombus pyrosoma, 2142 nucleotides long. RefSeq lists it as uncharacterized. Lineage: Eukaryota; Metazoa; Arthropoda; Insecta; Hymenoptera; Apidae. The transcript is spliced from 2 exons. The record is from RefSeq and is a predicted model, not a curated record.